ACUAUAUCUAUCAUCGUAACAUGAACCAUAUCCAUCAUCAUGAGCCAUGGGUCAUGGCCACAAAUCACUUGGCUGGAACGAGGCUUGGGAACUUCACAUUCCCAAAUGCACCUGCAAAUCAUUCUGCUGCCGCUAGGAAUCAAAUGGCCGGCAUAAAUCAGAGAAACUUCAUGUUUCAGGAUGCAACUGCCAAUGAUGUUGACCAUGGCAGCCAUGCCAAUGUAUUUCAUAGUCUGCCUGCUCAUGGUUUCUACCAUGGUCAUGGCCAGCAUUCUUAUUGGUUCCACCAUGGUCAUGGACCUCGUGCUUAUGGUUUCGGUCAUGCUUAUGGGUUCUGGCGACAUGCAAACUGUGGACGACAGGAGGCAUGAAUGCAACCCAGUGUGACAUCCAGGUGGGGCCUCUUGUUAUGUGGAUGAUGACCUCUACUACUUACCCCUGGUUUCUGACACCUAAAAAGUUGCCAAGUUUGAACUCAAGAGGUAGAGAUUCAAACAAUUGGAGCCAUUUACUGCAUUCUGCCAUAAUAACUGCAGAAACCUUAUGUUGCAGUACUUCUGCACUUCCCUCUGCCAUAAAUAAGUAAAGAAAAUAUAUGUCAGCAGCAUUAAUAUCACCACAUGAUCAUUGAUCCUCUCCUGUACUAGUGGUCCACCAGAUCCAUGCAAGAUGUGCCAUAGAUUUACUGCACCAUAGAGAGAAAAUUGAACUCAUGAACACCAGUAGCUAGAUGUUCAUUAAAAUAGUGCUGAACUGUGUUCGGUGACUGCCCAUCAAGACCUACAAGCCAAUCCCCAGCAAGAGGCAUCGAUGUACCUCUCUGGAGACCCACAUCCCGGAUAUGCGCAGAGAGGGUCUGCUGCUCGAAGAAAAGACCCAUCUCCGGUCCUUUCUGCGUACUCUGUUGAUAAAAAAGUAUUGAGAGUCAAUUUCCGCUUUGACGGCUGUACAGUAUUCCUUGGAUCCACAAAGGUUUCACACAUUGGAGUCUUCGUAACGUGGAAAGACAGCAGAAAUUUCCUAGUGAACGAAAGCUACUUGUUUUCUCCUGCUUACAUCGAGCAUUGUAGCAGGAACUCUAAUGUAAUUGGCUUGCCUAAGAACCUUUUCACUUCUUUUAUCAGCUUAUUAAUACCUCGUCACCUCUAAUGAAUUCUGGGCUACAGAUUGGACAUUAGAAAAUUAUAUCUGAGCUGAUUCUGAGAUAUUUAAAUUCAUUUCUGGAGUUGA
This is a long non-coding RNA of Musa acuminata AAA Group (dessert banana), 1230 nucleotides long. RefSeq lists it as uncharacterized. The transcript has 4 exons. NCBI's taxonomy places the organism in Eukaryota, Viridiplantae, Streptophyta, Magnoliopsida, Zingiberales, Musaceae. The record is from RefSeq and is a predicted model, not a curated record.